This 455-nucleotide long non-coding RNA is filed under the name Lepidothrix coronata (blue-crowned manakin). Its description in RNAcentral is "lncRNA (ENSLCOG00000003657.1)". The record is from RNAcentral. Lineage: Eukaryota; Metazoa; Chordata; Aves; Passeriformes; Pipridae.
GCAGCACUUGGAUAUCAAACAAAUCAACAACCAAGUCUGGCCUCGAGGGAACAGCAGAACCUGGCUCUGGACAAGACCCAACUUUGAGCUUAUCUGCUGUGCAGGUGGGGCAGGAGGAGAUGGAAGAAGAAUUAACAGAGGCAGACCUGGAUCAGAGAGUGGAUAUUUACCUCUCAGAGACAGACACACUCUGGAUGUUUGAUAUGCCCUCUGUCAUGGUGUCUGUGGAAGCAGAAGAUGCUGGGAGAGUUCUGUAGGGAGCGGAAUAAGAUUUACGCUGACAUUUGCAAAACCAAAGCUGGCAGCGAACGCUUUGAAGAGAGAAUGGUGCAAACCCUGGCUGGGGCUGCCAAAAACAAGGAAGUGCAAUGUGAGACAAUUAUCAUGGAAGAUAAAGGUAAAACUCAAAACACUCCCUGCAGCCAGCAGAACACUGAGAAAAGGGCUUUUUUAUU